UACGAAGGGUGCAAGCGUUAAUCGGAAUUACUGGGCGUAAAGCGUGCGUAGGCGGUUGGCUAAGUCAGAUGUGAAAGCCCUGGGCUCAACCUGGGAAUGGCAUUUGAAACUGGCUGGCUAGAGUGUGAUAGAGGAUGGCGGAAUUCCCGGUGUAGCGGUGAAAUGCGUAGAGAUCGGGAGGAACAUCCGUGGCAAAGGCGGCCAUCUGGAUCAACACUGACGCUGAGGCACGAAAGCGUGGGGAGCAAACAGG
Molecule: ribosomal RNA, 253 nt
Filed under: uncultured bacterium
Lineage: Bacteria
Description: partial 16S ribosomal RNA
Rfam family: Bacterial small subunit ribosomal RNA
Source: RNAcentral